This 559-nucleotide ribosomal RNA is filed under the name uncultured Bacteroidales bacterium. RNAcentral's name for it is "bacterial SSU rRNA". It matches the Rfam family "Bacterial small subunit ribosomal RNA", at positions 167 to 726 of the family's 1533-position model. Lineage: Bacteria; Pseudomonadati; Bacteroidota; Bacteroidia; Bacteroidales. The record is from RNAcentral.
UUCCCCAUAAUAUUCGGAGAGGCAUCUCUCCGGGUUGAAAACUCCGGUGGUUAUAGAUGGACAUGCGUUGUAUCAGCUAGUUGGUGAGGUAACGGCUCACCAAGGCAACGAUACAUAGGGGGACUGAGAGGUUAACCCCCCACACUGGUACUGAGACACGGACCAGACUCCUACGGGAGGCAGCAGUGAGGAAUAUUGGUCAAUGGACGCAAGUCUGAACCAGCCAUGCCGCGUGCAGGAAGACGGCUCUAUGAGUUGUAAACUGCUUUUGUACGAGGGUAAACUCACCUACGUGUAGGUGACUGAAAGUAUCGUACGAAUAAGGAUCGGCUAACUCCGUGCCAGCAGCCGCGGUAAUACGGAGGAUUCAAGCGUUAUCCGGAUUGAUUGGGUUUAAAGGGUGCGUAGGCGGUUUGAUAAGUUAGAGGUGAAAUCCCGGGGCUUAACUCCGGAACUGCCUCUAAUACUGUCAGACUAGAGAGUAGUUGCGGUAGGCGGAAUGUAUGGUGUAGCGGUGAAUGCUUAGAGAUCAUACAGAACACCGAUUGCGAAGGCAGCU